Long non-coding RNA from Acinonyx jubatus (cheetah), 5066 nucleotides. RefSeq lists it as uncharacterized. The record is from RefSeq and is a predicted model, not a curated record. NCBI's taxonomy places the organism in Eukaryota, Metazoa, Chordata, Mammalia, Carnivora, Felidae. The transcript is spliced from 8 exons.
UUUUAAAAACCAUUUUAUUUUGAAAUAAACAGAUAUCACAAGUUGCAGGGAGUGUACGGAGAGGUUGUGUGUACUCUAUCCACUUUCCCCCAAUGGUUACACCUUACUUACCUGGUAGGUAUCAGAGUAUGGAAAUUGACAGUGGCACAAGGUGUGUGUGUGUGUGUGUGUGUGUGUGUGUGUGUGUGUGUGUGUAGUUCUGUGCCUUUCUAUCCCGUGCUUAGAUUGGUGUAACCACCACUGCAACCAAGUUCCAGAGCUAUGCCAUCACCACCAAGAUGUCCCUUGUGAGGAGUACAUUUUUCUUCUUUUUAGUCUGCUCAGUAUCGGGUUGCUUCAUACCCAAUGCUUGUGGUAUUUGGUUAAUACGAAAUGGUAGACUUUCUGAUCUUAGGUCUGGAGGCUUGUGGCUGUCAGGAUGGAAGGUGAAGCAGGCAGGGUUCUAACAGGUUGUUAAGACAGGGGCUGAUCCUCUUUGCCAGUAUGUGAUCAAAGCCUGAUGCAGGGCUGUAAAGUUGACUUCCGGUCACAUAUGGGCAAAGAACUCUUUGUAUUUUCCUGGGUGUGGAGCACAGCUUGUGCAGUCGUUUGGUUUAUAAGGCUCCUGGUGAAGAUAAGGAGGGGAGUACAGUAAUUAAUGAUCCGUCCUCUCUAAAUCAUCCUUGAGAAAAUCCACAGCUUCAUUUUUUCCAUUCUGCAAUGAAUAAGCCCCAGAGGCAUGUACUUCCUGUUUAUGAUGUGGUUCCCAGGAAAAAGGAGCAAACGCACCAGUAGCUGACGAAUCGCUUCAGUAAAGGAGGGCUUGAUUACAAAUUGCAUAUCAUGAAAAACCAGCUUUCAUUUUGCUGGAAAAGAAAAUGUUUCCAAAUGAUUUGGAUGUUUUGUACUCCUACUUGCUCUCUUUGCUCAAGUCUCAAAGCAAUCCCAACAGCAUGACUCCUGGAGAAUUAGAAAAGAGACUUCUCCCUUUGGGACAAAGACUUUGAUAAACACUUGUUGGCUAGGGUUUCAGAUUGCAUCAGUUCAGGGAACUCAUUCCAGGCCCCAGACCAAGAACAAGCUUUGACUUGAUUUCUAAAUUGCUUUCAGGAUGAUAUUUCCAGAUCUUGAUUUUAAAAUGCCAAAUUUUGCUUGCCCAUGAAACUGGUGUAUUCUGGUUUUCUCACGUGUAUUCCUGUAAAAAUGUAUUAAUUAAAUAUACUUUAAAAAUAAAUAUCAUCCUCUUCCUUUGGGAGAAUUUUUAAUGCUAAAUUUUCUUCCAGUAAUGAUUAGAAGUGAGAAUGGUUUUUGAGAACUUUAUGUUGUAAAAAUGGCUUAUAAGAACUUACACAAAAUUAAAAAUAAUUGGGAGAGAGAGUUCUCUACAAUCUUAUCACCUCUAACAGAACUAUUAUAAUUUCGGUGAAUUUUUUGCUCUAGCAGUUGCUUAAAGGAUAUUUGCAUGUAAGUUAAAAUCAUGUUUCCAUGAUUCUUUUAUGUUUUAUUUUGCUCUUAUUUCCCUAGCAUAUUUAGGGAACCAAAUUAAGUAUUGAUUGAUGGUGAUAGUGAUGAUAUUAAGACAUGGAUUUGGUUUAAAGAAAUACAUGCACCAUGAAGCCAUGUAAUUGAAUAAGUCAGAAGGAAAUUUAGUCUGUCUUUUUCCUGUGUCCACUCAAGAAAUGCUUUAAUAACAACAGGAGAAUCAUUGUUUAUUUUUUUCCUUUAAAUUGUGAAUCCAGGCCGUUCUUGAUGCCGUUUGUGACAUCAGCCAGCCAAAUACUUUGGAGGGAACAUCAAUACCAACAAGUUACAUCUGUUUGUGGCAUUUUCCUCAGGAUGGGACUAACAAGUUUGAUCUGUUUGUCUAUGUGGAUUAAUUCACAUUUAUUGUAUUACAGCAGCAUUUUAAUCUUAUUAGCUCUUCUCUUUAGGAAAUUACUCCUGGAAUUGAAUCAUACCAAGAAUUUCACCAGAGGAUUUUAUACAUUUGGGCUGUGGCAGCAGACCAAUUAAACCACAGAGCUGGUCUAGAGGUGAGAAGUCCAAGAUCAAGAGUGAGCAGAGUUGGUUUCUUCUAAGGAGCCUGAGGGAAGAAUCUGUUCCAGGAUAUCAGAUUGCAUUCAGUCAUCGUGUUCCAUUCGUCUCCAUUCUGCGACCAUUGUUUGAUCUUUCCUGACCAUAACAGUUUCAAAGAGUGCUGGUCAGGUAUUUUGUAGGCUGUCCCUCAGUUUGGGUUUGCCUGCUGGUUGGGUUUGCUGUGGCUACAUCGGGAAUACGGAUUUGGGGGAAGACUACCACACAGACAAACUGACCUUUUCACUGCACCAUAUUAGGGGUACAUGGCAUCAAUAUGACUUAGGAUUGGUGAUGUUAACCUUAAGCGUUUGGCUAGGGUAGUAUCUCGGGUUUCUCUACUUACUGUUUCUCUUUCCAUGCACUGUUCUUUAGAAGAGAGUCAUUAAAUCCAGUUCACACUCGAGGUCGGGGUGGGGGGGGGGUGUAUUUUAAAACUGCAUUCUAUCAACACUUAUCUAAUAUCCCUUUUUACCUCCCACUUCCAAAAGUCCACUCUGUUCCUGAGCAAAGCUUUGGAAGAUUCUGUGAUACAUUUCAGUUCAGUUCUUGGCUUUCUCCACUAUAUCCCAAGUCACUUGUCUGCAUCCCGGCUUCCAAAUUUUUGUUGCUAUUGUCUCCUCUCCUCUUUGUAUUUACGGUUUUAUGGGCUUUGAAAAAAAUCCCUUUACGGUAGUUUUAGUGAGCUUUCAGAGGAAGUGACAUUGAAUUAGUAUGUUCCAUCUGCCAUCUUUAUCUGGAAGCCUUGGGGGAAACAUUUUUUAAUCAUCAGAAUUGACAUUUAAUCUGUUUGGAUUUGCCAUUUCUAUUUGUUAUAAUUCCACCAUUAAUAUAAUCCAUGAAAUCACUGAAUGCUUUUUUGGUAUCAUUGUGGUAUCAUUGUUGCAUUUCAUGAAACACUGUGAUCCAUCAUGAAACUCAGUUCGAGGCACCUGGGUGGCUCAGUUGGUUAAGGGUCCAACUUCUGCUCAGGUCAUGAUCUCACGGUUUGUGGGUUUGAGCCCCGCAUCAGAUUCUGUGUCUCCCUGACUCUCUGCCCCUCCUCUGUUCGUAUUCUGUCUCUCUGUCUCUCUCAAAAAUAAAUAAACAUUAAAAAAAGAAGAAGAAGAAAAAGAAAGAAACUCAGUUCACAGCUAGAGAAGUAAGGCUUCUAAUGUUGGUUGGCAUGAUUGGCCCUGAUUAUCAAAGAGAGAGACAGAGCGUGAGUGGGGAAGGGGCAGACACAGAGAGGGAGACACAGAAUCCGAAGCAGGCUCCAGGCUCCGAGCUGUCAGCACAGAGCCCGACAUGGGGCUCGAUCUCACAGAUCGCGGGAUCAUGACACUGAGCUGAAGCCGGACGCUCAACCGACUGAGCCACCCAGGUGCCCCAACAGCUUUUUUUUUUUUUUUAAGUGUUCUGGAUAUUCUUGGUCCUUAAAGUUUCCAUAAAGUUUUAAGUGGGCUUGUCAAAUUCUUAAAACAACAACAAUAACAACAACAACACCUCAAAACCAAAAGCAGCAAACUAAACCUGUUGGGAAUUUUAAUUAGUAUUGAUUUGAAUUGGCAAAUGGUUUUUGAGUGAAUUGACAUUUUUAGCCCUAUCAAGUCUUCCAAUUCACCAUUUAUUUUAGUCUAUUUAGUGUCUUUCAAUAGAUACAGAGGUGUUGCAUAUCUUUUGAUAGGUUUAUUUCUAAAUACUUGAUUUUUUAUGCUCUUGUAAAAAGACAUCUUUUAACAAUUUAUCGUUGGUAUUUGGAAAUGCAGUUGAUUGUGGUAUAGUAAUUCUUCAUCUAGAAAUUUUACUAAAUGCUCUUAUUAAUUCUACUGGCUCAUCUUUUGGAGGGAGGUUUCUAUGUACAUAAUAUAGCAUCUGUAGAUAAUUAUACCUUUUAUUUGUUUUCCUUGACCUUCAUGUACUAGCUGGAAUCUCUACCACAACACAGAACAGAAGUAGUGAUAUCGGGAAACCUUUAAUUGCUCUUUUCAGAGGAAAAGCUUCCAACAUUCAACAUUGAGCAAACGAUUUCUUUGCUUAUCGUCCAUCUUCUCGACCUGGAAUGUAAAGCUGCAUAAGUUCCCAGCACCUAGGACAGGACCUGGCACCAAAAAGAUGGCACCCCGCCAGUCUGCUCUACUUUGACUCCUAGUACUCUGACCCUAAAGGAGCAUCUCCAACAUACGUCAGUAAAAUCGCUUUGGUUUACUGUUGCCUGGAGGAACCAAGGACUUGCAGAGUACACAAGGCUUUUCCUGCAGAAGAGAAAAAUACAAAUGCCACUUCCCAGCCUAACUCACAGAGCGUGGUGUCAGAGAAAAGAGAAAAUUGAGAAAAUACUUGGACUUCAAAGAGUUUAGGGGAGGAAUGGUUUCCCCUCUCCCAGACAUGUGUUUUCCACAUCUGAUAGUGUAACAUUCCUGGCCGCCUUCCACCAUUCAUUCGCUCCACUUUGGGGAAGAGGAGUGACUUACCUGCUGAUUUUGGAAGAGUGACAGGGCCUCUGCAGCCCUGCCCCCACCACUCUGCCUCUUGGAAAUGGCCACCAGCAGGUGGGGAGAGUCAGUCCUCCGAACAGCUCGGGGCCUUAAAGUGAGCCCUAGUGAGACAGGCCCUACUCCACAUCUGGAAGCCUGGGGACCUAAUCUUUCAGAUUCCGUGAUUCAGUAGCAGGAGGCCUAGGGUCUGCAAAUAGAAGCCACUUUCCCCGGCACCAGCUUUAACUGUGAUAAAGGUGAUGCUCACUAUCAUCUACCUUAUUUAGCCUUUUGUCUUGUUUAUCAGUUGGGCCAGACUGGGGGCAGGCAGAGUGGGUGCUAGUUAUUUUCCCCCCAGCUUUACUGAGGUGGAAUUGACAUAGAGCAACGUGGGAGGGUCGGGCGUCCAAAGUGUUGAUCUGACAUGCUUAUAUAUUACGCAAUGAUUACCACCAUAGCCUUAGCUGAUACCUCCAUCGUGUCACAUAACUACCGUCUCUUUUUUGUGGUGAGAACACUGGAGGUCUAUUCUCUUAACACCUUUCAAGUGUAUAAUAC